This 642-nucleotide long non-coding RNA is filed under the name Phascolarctos cinereus (koala). RNAcentral describes it as "lncRNA (ENSPCIG00000036673.1)". The record is from RNAcentral. Lineage: Eukaryota; Metazoa; Chordata; Mammalia; Diprotodontia; Phascolarctidae.
AAAUCAGAGGCCCAAGCAUGGGAAAACCUGAGAACUUGCUGGGCUCCCUAUUCCCUGUCUUUUCUGCCUCCAUGUUCCAACUCACCUCUGCCUGAUGGAAAGGACUGUAUUAAGAAAAGAAUAGCAUUCAAAAGUAGGAUGGCCUAAGAAUUGUGCCUGGGGCAAGUAGAAGACAAUACACAUGGGGUCAACUAAAGUAUCCACCUUCUGAAGAUCAACUACACAGCUUGUCUCAGGAUAAAUAUUCAUAUCGACCUGGCCAGAGUGGGGAAAGAAGAAAAGGCAAUGGAGAGGAAGCAAAUAUCAGAACAAGGUGCUCAGUGUCCUCUUGGUCUUCCACUAUCCAAGUCUACUCUUAAGAAUCUGAAACUUGUUCACAUUCUAACAGCUUUCUUCUAACAAGAGGACCUGCAUCUCCAUGGAGAUAAGAAGAAUGAAACACUGCCAAUGUAAUUCCAGGUCUCUAAAAAGUUCUGAAGAGUUUUAGGAGAAAGAGACAACCCCAAAUCACUUUGUUAAGGUGGUUAUCUUCUCUUACUACAAGCAACAUAGGCUUUCUUCAGUUGUAAAGUACAAUAAGAAAAGUAAGAAACUUAGUUCACUCUUUUCAGCUCUUUAGUAAUUGAUUAUAUGGAUUAUAUU